GAAAUACUAUAUUAUUUCAUAGCAAACUGCUUAGUAACACAUGAUCAACCUACCCUAUGGAGGGAACUAACCUCGGGAAACUGAGGAUAAUGGCCCAUAGCAGAUUCGGCUUGGAAAAGUGUUUCUGUGAAAGGGAUGCGGAAUUGUCCGUAUGUGCCAUAGGAUGGGAUUGUGGUCGAUUAGGUAGUUGGUGAGGUAAUGGCUCACCAAGCCGAUAAUCGAUAGGGGCCGUGAGAGCGGGAGCCUCAAGAUGGGUACUGAGACAGCGACCCAGGCCCUACGGGGCGCAGCAGGCGCGAAACCUCCACAAUGCACGCAAGUGCGAUGGGGCUACCCAAAGUGCUCCACAAGGAGCUGUGGUGGAUGAGUAAUGUUCUCCACUAGAAAGGAGAGGGCAAGGGCUGGUGCCAGCCGCCGCGGUAAAACCAGCUCUUCAAGUGGUCGGGAUAAUUAUUGGGCUUAAAGUGUCCGUAGCUGGUGAGGUAAGUUCCUGGUAAAAUUGGGCAGCUUAACUGUCCUUAUGCUAGGGAUACUGCCUUACUAGAGGGCGGGAGAAGUCUGAGGUACUACAGGGGUAGGGGUGAAAUCUUAUAAUCCUUGUAGGACCACCAGUGGCGAAAGCGUCAGACCGGAACGCGCCUGACAGUGAGGGACGAAAGCCAGGGGAGCGAACCGGAUUAGAUACCCGGGUAGUCCUGGCCGUAAACGAUGCGCACUAGGUGAUGGUGCGGCUAUGAGCCGCAUCAGUGUCGUAGGGAAACCGUUAAGUGUGCCGCCUGGGAAG
Molecule: ribosomal RNA, 784 nt
Filed under: uncultured archaeon
Lineage: Archaea
Description: bacterial SSU rRNA
Rfam family: Archaeal small subunit ribosomal RNA
Source: RNAcentral